UUCCAGUCUUUUACCACCUGCCGAAGUGCCAACUUUGGAUAACCAGUGGACAGCUUGUUCCUUGAGGAUGGAGAGAUCCACAAAGAAAGGAGAGUGUUCGUUCCUGAAAUUCUUUAACAAUGGGUGAUGAGGAUGGGAUGUGAAGCAACCUCCUAGGUACCUCCUAUGAACCUCUGGACCUGCCAAAGUAUACAUGGAAGCCCCUUGUUGCUUCUCUUCCUGUGGCUUCUAUAAUCCCAGGAGGUGAUUAAGUGUGAUUCCACUCAAUGAAGAUUUCAUAACAAAACUUCAGCUUCCCACAGAGGCCACAGAAUCCUGAGGACAACCUGCAGGAAGCUGGGUCACUACUUUUUAUAAGACUGAAGCUUGCGGCUAUCCAUGUCCAGCAAGUCACUCGGUGCUAUUUUCCCAGGAGCACUUUUGCUCACUUUGCGUCCACAUUUUGAAUUCUGAAGAGCAUAUUUGUCGUGAAAGGAAACCCUGGAAUCUAUUAUUGAAAAGCAAGCAAGUUAAGUGGUGACUUCAUUAUUAAGAAAGCAGGGGAUGGAAAUGACAGAGCUUGCAGUCGGUUCUCAACUCCAAUGAUAAUAAGAACAGCGAAUGCACCUACUUCAACCAAACUGGGCCAAUCCCCGCUGGACCAAGCAGAUUCUCUCUCUUGCAAUACGAAUUUGCUUUCCCAGGUGGUCUGGAACUGGAACUGUAACACGUAAACUUGCAAAGUCUAUGCUACCAGUGGAUGGAGAAACAGAAAAACAAAGUCUUCAAAGUAAGAGAAUAAGGAAGAAGUGGAAAGAAACACAUGAAAAAGUGAAGAAAGCAAAAAGCAUACAGAAUUUCAAUUAUCUUCUUGUUUCAUUCACAAUACACUUGCAAACUGUCACAGCCUCUCAUGGAUUCUGAAACUACACAGCCCCACUAAUUCUAAGCAGAGAAGCAAGACCACAAAAGUGCUGAACCGGACACUGUCAUUUCUAAUGUGUCAUUUCUAAUAGUGACAGUCCAACAGCAACAAACUUUUUCCUUUGUAUAAUCUUUUACAAAAGGCCUCUGAACAGUGAGGUGUAUGUAACACAUGUUUAACA
Prionailurus viverrinus (fishing cat) is the source of this 1085-nucleotide long non-coding RNA. RefSeq lists it as uncharacterized. The transcript is spliced from 6 exons. Lineage: Eukaryota; Metazoa; Chordata; Mammalia; Carnivora; Felidae. The record is from RefSeq and is a predicted model, not a curated record.